CCCUCGCUGCGCCGCCACUUCUCCUCCGGCCGCAACCGCCGUGGCCUCCACGACGAGCUCGGUCUUUAGUGAUUGAAAAGCAAUGGUGGAGCAUGGAAGCCCCCUCAACAAUGUUGAACAAGUGUUCAUUGCUGCCUGAAUGUACGGAAAUGGACAGAGCACGAAUAUGGUGGUUGGUCUACCGCUUGAUAACAGGCAGAUAAUAGUGUACAUGCUUGCUAGAAAACUUUGAUCCGGCAUCCUAGAUAUUACGGCUUUUGCUUUUGUGUUGCAUGGUUGGGUGAUGGUACUCAUGGAAGCAUUGCUAGCUUGCCUAUGCUUGUGCUUCGUAUGCUGUUGCUGUUUUCUGUAGAUGAACUGUGGUGCGUUGCAUGAUGACUGCCUCUGAGGGUUGGUAGAUAUAAUUUUUUAUUAUGAUUGAGGUCCUUUGUAUUUUUUAUGAACAAAAGAAGAAUGUUUGUAUGCUGUUUGGCUCAUCA
This is a long non-coding RNA of Aegilops tauschii subsp. strangulata, 479 nucleotides long. RefSeq lists it as uncharacterized. The record is from RefSeq and is a predicted model, not a curated record. Lineage: Eukaryota; Viridiplantae; Streptophyta; Magnoliopsida; Poales; Poaceae.